UGGAGAUGAUAGAAGUGGCCUGUACA
Molecule: non-coding RNA, 26 nt
Filed under: Rattus norvegicus (Norway rat)
Lineage: Eukaryota; Metazoa; Chordata; Mammalia; Rodentia; Muridae
Source: RNAcentral